This 200-nucleotide ribosomal RNA is filed under the name uncultured Glomus. RNAcentral describes it as "partial small subunit ribosomal RNA". It matches the Rfam family "Eukaryotic small subunit ribosomal RNA", at positions 591 to 796 of the family's 1831-position model. Lineage: Eukaryota; Fungi; Glomeromycota; Glomeromycetes; Glomerales; Glomeraceae. The record is from RNAcentral.
CCAAUAGCGUAUAUUAAAGUUGUUGCAGUUAAAAAGCUCGUAGUUGAAUUUCGGGGUUAGUAGGUUGGUCAUGCCUCUGGUAUGUACUGGUCUCACUGAUUCCUCCUUCCUGAUGAACCUUAAUGCCAUUAAUUUGGUGUUUUGGGAAAUUUGGACUGUUACUUUGAAAAAAUUAGAGUGUUUAAAGCAAGCUAACGCUU